Gallus gallus (chicken) is the source of this 7718-nucleotide long non-coding RNA. RefSeq lists it as uncharacterized. NCBI's taxonomy places the organism in Eukaryota, Metazoa, Chordata, Aves, Galliformes, Phasianidae. The transcript has 16 exons. The record is from RefSeq and is a predicted model, not a curated record.
AUCUAGAGAUCCCUGCCUACCUGAGGACCUUGCAGGCCUUCCAAAGGGAAGUGGGUGACAAGCACACACAGCUCACAGCUAAACUACUGCAAUCAAGUGGAUCAGAAACAGAAUUGGAGCUAUUUUAUCUGGACCUAAUUAAACAACCUUCAUUACUGGCAGGGAUUUAUUAAUUGUGGAUUGACGAGGAAUAGAGAUUGGUGUAGACAGGUGUUCACCCACAGCAUCAUCCCCCUUAGUGGACUGAUGACAAGUGAAUGCCUGUAACAGGAGGCAUGAUAUCAUGGUGAAAUUCUAAGGAGACACUCACUAAAUCUUCUGGGAUAGAAGGAAGAAAUGAAGUCCUAGAUACGGUUGUACGCAGUGCUGGUAAAACAACAAAUCCUGUUGGUGUUCUCCUAGAAGAUAACUGAGAUGCAAAGUACUUACAGCAUUGUAUUCACACUGGUGCCUGCCAAGGUGACCUGGAGCAGCCCCCAGGAGGAUCCUGUUAUGUGUUCAAUACCUGAUGUAUUACUUCAGCAGCAAAUUCAACAAGGCCAAGAUGUCUUCAUUUUCCUCCAGAGCAAGAGCUGUAUGAGCAGUGUGAUGGAAGUAUUGGUCUUCUGUGGCCAGCCGGCGAGAACCCAUCAACAGCUGUGAUGAGCAGAGCAGACACGGAGAGACAGGAGGCAGCUGAAGCCAAAGAGGACCCACGCCUGAAGCUGUGUGUGUGUGAUUGGAGCAGAGAGAGGCCAGGACCCAAGGAAAUCCCAGCAGCAAGGGAAAAAAACAGAUUGACUCUCAGUGACUCAUUUAGCUCCUGGAUUGGACAGAUCUCUCCCCUGCUGGCAAUUUGGCUGAGCAUCAAUGGACAGAUACCAGGAUGAAUAGCUUAAAAUAAUUAGGGGUUGGGAAUAUGCAAAACUGCUAGCCAUCCAAUUCUUUACUCUGCAAUGUGAGGCACAAAAAAGAAAUUACAUUUAGGUUAUUAAAUAUUAAGUCAGUGGAUUUGCCUCCAUUUGGUCCAGAACAGGAAACUGGAUAAAAUUCAACAUUUAUUUCAUUGUGUUGAUGGCCUGUUUAUCACUGAGCGGAAGAGAACAGAGGAAUUUGACAAAUGAUGGCAAUUGAGACUUCAUGAUUUAAGAACAGCAUCUCAAGCAGUUGCUCUGAAGUGGUUCUCCAUGUGAAAUGAGGAUGCCGCAUGCUUAUCAGUGGUGAUACAGGUAUAUGGCUACAGAUGCCUUGCCCCUCAAAAGCUUCGUGUUUGCCAGAGUCAGGGAUGAAGAACACCAGGUAUUUCCAGGGAUACUGGAGUGGCACAUGUUCCAGAAAGUUUGAAGUAAAGUGUCUGCUUUCACUGCUCAGGUUCAAGCCCAUUAAAGGAUUUGAGGAAAUCCAUUCAGUACUUUGCACAGAGAACAAAUGUGAACCGUUCCAAUGAGUUGCAGGCUCUGGAGCAGAUCAGUAUGAGGAAUGGUUGCAGGAGCGAAGCAAACUCCAGGAGAGGGACCUGCAUGUACCAUGCAGCAGAAGCUCCCACAGACACCAGUUUCCCCAGCAUGGGCCAGACUGUUGACUUAACUCUGCUGAUCUCCCCUCCCUAGUACUCUCCUCCAGCCCUCAACAGCACUUCAGUGGUGUCAACAGCCUUCAGUAGCCUCCAAAAGACCUGCAGCAAAAGAGAGAACAGUGAGGAAGAAGAGCCUGCAGAGGUAACUAAGAGUUAACUGGCUACAUUUCAGCUGUCACCAUUGUCUUACAUCUACAGAGAGAGUGGGGAGAGCCAAGGAGAUGUAUUUACGUGUCAGAUGCGGCAUCGUGCACUGAAAAGCUUGAUGUGUGAGCUGCUCCUAUGCACAGUCUUCCAAAAAGGAACAUUCUGUGUGGCCAGAGGUGAGCUGAGCCUUCUGCCAAGCUGGAAGUUGUUCAGCAGAGAGGGUCAGACCUUGAGGAGCUGCCCCAGUCUCGCUGCCACAAUGGAGAAUGGAGAUGGAGCACAUCCACAGGAGCGGCGGCUGGUCGGGCUCACAGGCAUGCUGGGGAAGGAGCAGCUCUGUGCUGCCCAGGGAGCGUCCCUCUGGAGGGGGCAGGCGGUGCGGCUGUGCGAUGUGCACGGAGCUGGUGGCACUCACUGGAUGAUCCCAGAAGACAAACAUUAUCGGCCCAGAUCAAACGCCUCCCACGAGAAGUCCAGCCUUCUUUGUUAGAGAAGUAAGUGGCAAUCUUCCCCUUUCGAUUCUUCUUUUCUUUUUCCUUUUUCUUUUGGUUUCUCUUGUAAAUGCAGAGGCCAGAAGGCCAUGCUUAAAGAAUUCAUUUACAAAUCUGCAAUAUUGUUUUGAACGAUAGCGAUUAAACAGAAAAUAGAAAAAUCGGUUCAGGAUCCUGUUUGGAUGUAAUUAAAGGUAUAAUCUGUUCCAUUCGAAUACUUCAAUGCUUACCCUUCUUAAAAAAAAGACAAAUAAGAAUAGUAGCUCAUUUGCAGGGUUGUUUUUUUUUCCAACCCAUGUAAAAAGACUAACUGAUGAAGCAAGAAUAAUAAUUUUUAAAUGUGGCAUAAGCACAAAAAUAUCAACUGCAGCUUUCAAAUUAUUGCUGCAGAUCCCGAGCCUGAUGAGAGCUCAAUAACAAGGGGUCUGAGCUUUAUGGCAAAACACUGAAGUCUUCCACUAUUUCCUAUCAGCAUCUUGAUAUGGCUGAUAUAAUUACCUAUCAAAUACAUCAGUGGAAUGAAUAUCAGAGGAUAUAAAAAAAUACGUAAGUCGGAUGCAUAUCAGCUCAUUCUUUUAGGGGCUGUUUGAUCUCAAGGUUUUUUGUAGGAAUAAAAGACCAAUAUGGCAUUCAUUGCCCUUUGUUUUCUAUAAGCAGUGAUGAUUUUACAGCACAAUAAAAUUAGACUAUUACUGGCUGGCUGAUGAGUUCUAGCUGGAUCUUUUCCCUCCUACUGGACAUUUCUUCACCGCUUCUCAAAGAAACUGAAGUCAAGGGUAAACUUAAUAUCAGCCCUGUUCAUUUAUUCUUCUGUAAGCAAUCAAGAUUUCCAAAAAUCACAGGACAAUCUCUUGCCUUUUGAGAAUGAAUAUAGGCUCUGUUCUCUCCAUUUAGUUUAACAAAACAACUGGCAGAAGUUCAGUGGAACUGAUGAUUGUUCCGAGAGGUUACGGCGAACCACUGACGUUGUUAGCAAAAGGCUCGCAUGUAAGAUUCCCUAAGAGGAAAAGUGCAUGGAUACUUCAAAAUGUAAUUAACAGUGAAUUCCAACAACGUGAAAAAGAAGCAGUGGCUGUACCAGCUGCAGAGGAACCUGGCUGCAUGACAUGGGCACCUUGGUGGCCACGGCUCCCUUAAAAGCAGCAAGGGACAGGGCCAGCGGUGGUGGUGAUGUGAGGAACGUCGGGUCUGACCCCAUCCAUGCAGGUUCUUCAUGUGUUGCUGCCUUUGCUAUUGAACAUAGUUAAAGAUAUAGAAGUGACCAAGCAUGCUACGAAGCAAAACACUUUCUGUUAUUUUCUUAACCAUUAAGAAAAGUCAGAAUUUCAAACUCAGUGUUUGUCAGCUGAGGCGUACUUCUAACAAGGCAGGCGGAAGACUUGUACUGAUAAAAUGACUGUCAAAACACAGGAGCAAAGGGUACAAAGCAGCACAGUGCUCUGGGAGACCUGUUUAACCGGUGAACAAGAGAGAAGCUCAAAGUUUUAAGGGUUACUAAAAUUCCUGGCCUUUUGGGUGUGUGUGCCUUGCCUCUGGAGCCCCUGCCCCCUUGCACAGCCUGUCCUGCAGUGCUGGAGAUCCCAAAGCAGCUUUCCUCCAGCCCACCCAGCCUGGCACAGCCUCGGCCUUCCCUUCACUACAGUUCUGCAGUUUGCUGCUUUUCACACAGUAGCAAUGAGAAGCUCCAUUUAAUAAAAUAACAAUAAAAAAAUGCGGCCCUCGUAGUGCCAGGCCCUGGCUCACCCUUCAGCAGAGGCCAGAGGCAAGCAGGGGCGGGGGAGCACCAUGUGACACCAAGACAGGCAAGGGCAAAACACAAAGCUAUGGCUCCCAAACCCAUCGAGCCGAACAGCCUCCCUGCACACCAAGAGCGUCUUUGUGGAUGUAACUAAAGGAAACACAACAACAGAACCCAGCUUGUUAAAAAAUACCCACAGAGGGGGAGAGAAAAAAUAAAAAUCCUCAACACAGCCUCGUCUGUCUCCAGCAAACAGGGCUUUUUUCAGGCCCUGGGCUCAGGCGUGGGCCCAAGCCCCUGCGGGUGGUGAGUUACUGGCUGACAGCCUUGCUGGCUGCACAGAGGCUGAAGCACGGUCCUCUCCCUGCCCUCAGCGCCAGCCGCCCCACAGCCCUCGUGCCUCCCUGCUGCCGCCCAGCUCAGCAGCCCCAUGGAUGGCACAGGGCUGUGUGACCAGGCCAGCCCCCCAAGGAACAUCUCUGAGACACCGGCAAAACAAGCAACGCUUAUCUCAUGCAUGCCACAGGUGUGAUGUCAUCCCCUCUGGCGAAGGAACGAGGAUGUCUACAGCCUCCACCGUGCAAAAAUGCAGGAACUGAAGUUAAUGUGCCUCAGACUUUGUUGAAAUAUGGUGAUAAUUAAGAAAUAUAAUUACCACUAUGAAGUUAAUGCCUCUCUGAGUUCUUACAAACAACUUUUUAAUUUGCACUGAGCAUUCACUUUGCAGAUGCGCAGUCAGUCGGGUGUGGGGCCGGCAGUGCUGCAGUCCGUGCGCCACGGCCCACCUGGAGGGCAGGCGUGCAGAGGAGCCCUGUCAGAUACACGCUGCAUUCUAUUAAGAAAAAAAAAAAAAAAAAGGAAGAAACUUACGAGGUAAUUGAUUGCUUUCUUCUAGUCUUUUAUUAGUUGUUAUUAAGGAGCUACAGUAGCCCUGUUUACACAUCCCCAACAAGUCAGGACCUGCAGCACGUUAUUGGCUUGCGGCCCACAACGCGCAGUCCGUUCUCAGCAGCAGUGAUCUGAAGUGGAACACGUCCCCGCAGGAAGCGCGCAUCCCUGCUCACACGGGGCAGGAGCAGCAGUAACGCUGCAGGCCCAGGGCUCAGCCCCGACUUGCUGCUGCCCUGGGCACGCUCCACGAGCAGGACACGGGGCCCAGGCAGGGACACGGUGAGCCCCUCACAGACCGAACCGAGGGCUCCUCGCUGCUCAACAUGCAGGCAAAGCGCUGCCAACCUAAAAUGGCUGAUCAGUAAUACUUUAAUUGCAGUUUCAUAGAAACAAAUUGCAAUUUAAUUGCAAUGAGCUCUUCUGUGGCUUCGCUGGACUGACAACAGGCGUACACCUGGUACCGAAAAGCAACAACAAAGGCUCCCUGGUACUUUGUGUACCGCAGGCACAGGAAGUGAAACCGGUCCUGGAGCACAUCUCACACUGAAGAAACAGCACUUUGAAGGUAUUUGACAUAUGUGUCCCAAUCCCAAUUUCAACAACAGGGCUGUUCAGAACACAGGUCCUUGCACAAGGCCUGACACCUGAUACAGGCCAAAGCAUUUGGUAAAAAAAAAUUAAAUUAAAACGAUCUUUUGAAAUGCUCGGUAGCAACGCAUACUACAGCAGUACCCCAUUUCUUUUCUUUCCUUUAUUAUAUUUCUCCUAGAAUUAGAUGAUGCAAAUUUCAUCAGUGUUAACUAACAGGGAGAAAGGGAGACAAACUCAGUGUGGUUAAUAUUCUAAAGAUGUGACUUAAUUUCAUAGGCUUCAUUCUGGUAAGACAUUCUCAUUUUACAUUUCGUAAGAUACUGCAUAACCUGUUAAAAUAUUUAAAGAUAAAUCAUGUAGGACUGAAAAGACAGUAUCUUGUUGCAAACAGAAUUUGGUUUGGAAAGGCUUAAUGUCCCACUGCCUGCCAGGAUGCGUAAAUCUCAUAACUAGACAGCUGGAUAGGUAAAAACAUUAAACCCAUUUAGAGGGCAAUCUUUUUACAAAAUUGUUUCAUUAAUAAGAGUGACAAUUUAUAUGAUUGAGACGCUUAGAUGCAGUAUAGACAGAGGCUUUUAUCCAGGUUCACUGGGAUGAUUUCAGAUUAGUAAUAUUUCCUUUGAUUUUUUUAGCUGCAUUCAUUUUUGAAAGUGAGGGAAGCUCUUACUGAUUAUUUGUAUGACUUUUCAGCAGCACUAAAUGCAGGGGGUGUAUUUCAGGCUCAGCGUAGCAAAUGCAUGUGAUAAAAGGUGAACAAGUACACGUUUCCUUUUACAGAUCUCCUAAAAAAAUUGAUUUUUCACAUAAGGACAAAUCUAAGUGUUUCCAGUAGCCUUCCCCCCAUCGUCCCCAUUAGAGCCUGUUUUAUUGUCUGAAAUGCCUCUGGUUUCAAGAAAGCGUUUUACCUAAAGGAAGAAUACUACUUAAAUAUGUUCUAUUGUAUAUUCAUAGCUCCAUUAGUCCUCCUCCAAUUUAGCACAUCAAAGCAAAGGCUUCAUCACUUGCAUGUGGAUUAUGCUAACAUGAGUGACAUUUGUAAUCUUAUAGGUCUGCAACUUAAGAAAUGCUUUUAAAGUAAGCUAUUAAAAAGGUAGCUGCGCUUUACAAACGAGUCAUAUAAUAGUUUAUUUAAAGCCGUUAAUGAACUUCAACCUCUACAUCACUAAAUGCUAUACUACAUUACUUACUAGAAGUUAUUAGGUAUCUUCUUAGCACUUCUAGGUUACAUUGGACAACCGAAAAUCUGUACAUGUUAGAUUUAACCGCGGUACCUUGAGUGCUUAUACUGGAAUAAUAUAAAAGAUGCCUACAGACUCCCUAAUGCUCCAAUUCCACAUUCGUGUAAUUUCGAGUGUUUCUUCAAAGCCGUCCCAGCCACACGAUAUGCAGGACUCCUACCCAAGGACUGGAAUGCAGCAUCAAAAAGCUCAGAAACUUAUUUUAAAAAAUACGUAAGUGCAUUUAAUUAAAAAAGUCAUACAUAGCCUCAGUAGUUUUAUCACUUUAUACAAUAUGUAAGUAUUCUUUUAUCUUUACUGUCUGUUACUGUACGUUAUACCUUUUCCUUUUCUCUGCACCAGUCCUACUUUUGCCCAGGCAGUGAAGCGCUAAAGGAAGAAAUCCAACAGACCUCUGCACACCAGGCCAAGAAGCAGAAUCUGAAACAAAAUAUGUCUGCUACUGGUUGUUUAGACAGACAAAUCUACAAAUCCGCUUUUUAGGCAUCAGCGUCACAACAAACAAGCAAGAAUCUCAAUGGAAACUGAAGAUCAUUUUGAAGCAGCGCCUCCCUGUAUCCACGCCAAAAUUAACGCGGCAGUUUAACAGGUUCUUCACUGGCACAGGACAAAACAAAAAGAGAACCCACCAAAAACCUCCAAACCAAAACCUUAUUUUUAAAGGAAGCUGACAAUUAAGGUAACGACUUUGUUUCUGAGUGGUAUUUUGAGUGUAGUUUUGUUGUUUCUUUCUUUCUUUCUUUCUUUUUAAGAAAAAACAGCAACAUUUCUAAAACCCAUACUCAAUGCAGUGGUUUUUGUUUUACUUUUUAUUAUUUAAAUACACCAUACUAGAGCAAAUGUCUCUGAAAAUAUCACAAAUAAAAGAUUUUUCUUCAUUCAGCAAAUUAGAAGUAGGUGAAAAUUUCUACACAGUAGCUGCUAUGAGCCUGACUUUUUUUUUUUCCUUUUUCUCCUUUUUUUUUUUUUUGCCAUGGGAAGUAGCAACAUUAGGACAAAAACACUUACAUGCAUACAUACAUUGUAUUUUACAGAGAUACAAUAAAAGUAUUUGUGAUAGAAUAUCA